AAUACUUAGGAAUCUGCCUAUUAGUGGGGGACAACAUUUCGAAAGGAAUGCUAAUACCGCAUACGCCCUACGGGGGAAAGCAGGGGCUCUUCGGACCUUGCGCUAAUAGAUGAGCCUAAGUCAGAUUAGCUAGUUGGUGGGGUAAAGGCCUACCAAGGCGACGAUCUGUAACGGGUCUGAGAGGAUGAUCCGUCACACUGGGACUGAGACACGGCCCAGACUCCUACGGGAGGCAGCAGUGGGGAAUAUUGGACAAUGGGGGCAACCCUGAUCCAGCCAUGCCGCGUGUGUGAAGAAGGCCUUUUGGUUGUAAAGCACUUUAAGCGAGGAGGAGGCUCCUGUAGAUAAUACCUACAGUGAGUGGACGUUAUUCGCGGAAUAAGCACCGGCUAACUCUGUGCCAGCAGCCGCGGUAAUACAGAGGGUGCGAGCGUUAAUCGGAUUUACUGGGCGUAAAGCGUGCGUAGGUGGCCAAUUAAGUCAAAUGUGAAAUCCCUGAGCUUAACUUAGGAAUUGCAUUCGAUACUGGUUGGCUAGAGUAUGGGAGAGGAUGGUAGAAUUCCAGGUGUAGCGGUGAAAUGCGUAGAGAUCUGGAGG
Molecule: ribosomal RNA, 597 nt
Filed under: uncultured bacterium
Lineage: Bacteria
Description: bacterial SSU rRNA
Rfam family: Bacterial small subunit ribosomal RNA
Source: RNAcentral